This 326-nucleotide ribosomal RNA is filed under the name uncultured eukaryote. Its description in RNAcentral is "partial 18S ribosomal RNA". It matches the Rfam family "Eukaryotic small subunit ribosomal RNA", at positions 1470 to 1796 of the family's 1831-position model. The record is from RNAcentral.
CCCUUAGAUGUUCUGGGCCGCACGCGCGCUACACUGAUGCAUUCAACGAGUUUUACCUUGGCCGAGAGGCCUGGGCAAUCUUUUAAACCUGCAUCGUGAUAGGGAUAGAUUAUUGCAAUUAUUAAUCUUGAACGAGGAAUUCCUAGUAAACGCAAAUCAUCAAUUUGCAUUGAUUACGUCCCUGCCCUUUGUACACACCGCCCGUCGCUCCUACCGAUUGAGUGGUCCGGUGAGGCUUUGGGAUCUGAGCGGAAAGAGCGUUUCGCUGUUUCUGCUCGGAAAACUCAGUCGAACCUUAUCAUUUAGAGGAAGGAGAAGUCGUAACA